CGGGAGACAAAUUAGCGAUGAGUCGCAAUUUCGAUUUUUCUGAGAUGCCAGGUGAAUGAACCAAACAUCUGUCUCUCAAUAGCAUUUUUUUUUUUUUUUUUUUUUUUUUUUUUUUUGCUUUGAUUUUACUUUCCUUUCGUUUUUUUUGUUGAGUUUAUUGUUUAAUCUCUAACAAUAUCAGGUAGAACUUCCUACUGUCCCCCAAAAAUAAUUUCACAUUCUUAUCCAUUGAAGCGAUUCCUAUGUCAUCCUGUGCAGGAUUGUUCUCUGCGAGACGACGACUAUGAUGACCUAACUUGUAACUCCAGAUACAGACAGAGUGCUUUGGCUGGAGUGCAAUGAAGUAGCCAGCGGUAAGCAUUGUCAGGAUUUGUCUGUUGCUUGAAAUGCGUUUCAGGCAGGCUUUUGAAACGGCGAAUGGGAUUUUGCUGAAUUACGCAAAUCAACUUGUGCCUCCACAAGCUUGGAACCUUCUCCUUCAAGCUUUCCGUGAAGAGCUCCACACAAAAUCAGCAAAAUGUUUCAGAGAUAAAUAGGCAGAUGUUAUCAAAAGCUUUGUAUAAUACUAUUAGUAUGUAUCAAAGAGAACAUUUAAAUUCACCCUUGUGUUAUAAAAGAUUUUACUUGUAAGUCUGUAAACUUACUAAAAUUGUUUUAAGUAGCCAAUUGCAACCCAACUUUAUUUCAAAUAAAUCAUCAAUUUUGGAAGUAUA
This 713-nucleotide long non-coding RNA is filed under the name Physcomitrium patens. RNAcentral describes it as "long non-coding RNA (PPAT_LNC000827)". Lineage: Eukaryota; Viridiplantae; Streptophyta; Bryopsida; Funariales; Funariaceae. The record is from RNAcentral.